AUGACGGCUCCAUAUAUUGCCAAAAAAUAUCUUGAAGAUAUCAGAGAUAAUGAGACGAUUGAUGCACAAUCAUUGGGGAAAAAAGUGCAGAAGGACUUCAACUUGGCUGCUGGAAGAAUGAAACUACAAAGGGGAAAAAAGAAAGCAAUGACUGUUAUUAGAGGUGAUGAGGAGAAGCAAUACAAUUUGCUUUGGGAUUAUGCUCAGGAGAUAAGGAGAUCAAACCCAGGGAGCAGUGUCUUCCUAAACUUGGAUGUUCAUGGUUUGUUCCAGACUAUGUACUUCUCCCUUGAUGCUUGUAAGAGGGGGUUCUUAGAGGGCUGUAGGCCUCUACUUUUCUUUGAUGGUUGCCACUUGAAAACUAGGCAUGGUGGUGUGAUGUUGACAGCAAUAGGGAUUGACCCUAAUGAUUGUGUUUUUCCAAUUGCAAUGGCUGUGGUGGAUGGGGAGAACAAGAAUAGCUGGAAGUGGUUCAUGAACACUUUGAAGCGAGACUUGAACAUCAGCAACACUGCGGCAUAUACCAUCAUGUCAGAUAAGCAGAAAGGUUUGAUACUUGCAGUAGAACAAGAAUUUUCAGAUUGUCCACAUAGGUUUUGUGUAAGACAUCUGUACCAAAACUUCAACACGAUUCACAAGGGGGAAGUUCUCAAGGAUCAACUUUGGGCUUGCGCUAGAUCUAGCAACACAGAACAGUUGGAAAGAAACAUGGAGAAACUCAAGUUGUUGAGUCCAGAAGCACAUGCAUGGCUUGAUGGGCACCCAUCAGACCAAUGGUGUAGAGCCUUCUUUGAUUGUUUCUGCAAGAGUGACACACUAAUGAAUAAUCAUUGUGAAGUGUUCAACAAAUACAUACUUGAUGCUAGAGAGCUUCCUAUCCUUAGUAUGUGA
Molecule: ribosomal RNA, 891 nt
Filed under: Triticum aestivum (bread wheat)
Lineage: Eukaryota; Viridiplantae; Streptophyta; Magnoliopsida; Poales; Poaceae
Description: partial small subunit ribosomal RNA
Source: RNAcentral